GAUGAACGCUGGCGGCGUGCCUAAUACAUGCAAGUCGAGCGAACAGACGAGGAGCUUGCUCCUCUGACGUUAGCGGCGGACGGGUGAGUAACACGUGGAUAACCUACCUAUAAGACUGGGAUAACUUCGGGAAACCGGAGCUAAUACCGGAUAAUAUAUUGAACCGCACGGUUCAAUAGUGAAAGACGGUUUUGCUGUCACUUAUAGAUGGAUCCGCGCCGCAUUAGCUAGUUGGUAAGGUAACGGCUUACCAAGGCAACGAUGCGUAGCCGACCUGAGAGGGUGAUCGGCCACACUGGAACUGAGACACGGUCCAGAUUCCUACGGGAGGCAGCAGUAGGGAAUCUUCCGCAAUGGGCGAAAGCCUGACGGAGCAACGCCGCGUGAGUGAUGAAGGUCUUCGGAUCGUAAAACUCUGUUAUUAGGGAAGAACAAAUGUGUAAGUAACUAUGCACGUCUUGACGGUACCUAAUCAGAAAGCCACGGCUAACUACGUG
This 497-nucleotide ribosomal RNA is filed under the name uncultured bacterium. RNAcentral's name for it is "partial 16S ribosomal RNA". It matches the Rfam family "Bacterial small subunit ribosomal RNA", at positions 28 to 507 of the family's 1533-position model. The record is from RNAcentral.